This 1117-nucleotide long non-coding RNA is filed under the name Mytilus galloprovincialis (Mediterranean mussel). Lineage: Eukaryota; Metazoa; Mollusca; Bivalvia; Mytilida; Mytilidae. The record is from RNAcentral.
GAUCUUAACUGACUUAAUUGCCAUCAACUACUGCACCCCAUUGUUCCAGUUUAGGACCAAAACUUAUUAAAGCCUCAUUACUGCUACAACUCGGUAAUAUCAAAGACUCUGAACUUUGUUACAUCAAAUUCAUUAGUUUACCUGAAGAAAAAAAAUCGAUAUUUCAGUGUUUCAGUGCCUUUUUUUUUACGAGAAAAUUAAUACAACUUUCAUUUUUCAUUUUUUUAGAACGUCAAUUGGGUUGUAGGUCCUAGAUUGUAAAUCCUAAUAUUGUUGUAUUUGUCAGAUUAAAGUUUUCUUUGACCUACAAAUCGAAAGUUCACAAAAGAUAAAAAAAGAAAUUAAACAAAAAUAUUUUGAUAAGAAAUUUAUAACAAGGAGAGAGAAAAACGAAUAACGAGAGCCAUACGUAUUAAGUGAAUGUUAAGUCAUAUAUUAAAACUGUCUUAUUAAUUGAUUUAAGCAGUAACUCUUACAGAAUAUGAUCACUAUAUAAUAGCAAUAAAUUAAAAAAAAAAAAAAAAAACCGACAAGGAAGUCCUCAUGUUUUAGUGACAUGAAAAAUCCUAUCCUUAUGACCCAGACUUUAGAUUUCCAAAGCUGUAUUUAACUUUUCGGUUAUUUCGGUUUUUAAUGCUCUUCGUACCUAAUUUGACCUUCCAAUUGUUUUCGAGCGUUACUAGUGACUUUAUUGUAGACAUAACGGCCCUGGGCGUCUGGCGUUCAACAUUAUAAGCCUGGUAAUUUAGAUGAGUUUUCAGGGUUACUGUCCUUUGAAACUUAGGCAGGGGAGAUAGAUUGGAGACAAAUAUUGAUAAGGUCUCGUAAGAACCUUUAUCUGUAUCCCAUUUUCUGUUUACCGAAUUAUUUUCCUAUCAUAAAAAAUAUCACAUUUUACAGCAACAACGUUAAUAUGCAAUUCGUAUAUGAAAGGUUUUCGAUAAAUAGGUUAUCUUAGGAAAAGAUCCUAAAAUAAAAUAGAGAUAUAAUAAAAUUAAACGGAACAGAUUGCGCAAUAACCAUUACCAAUUCGUCAUGUUUGGGUAUCAGAUGAAAUGAAAUAGUCUCGGGAGUUUUCAUAAAGGCUAUUCAAUGAUCCCAAUCUUUAUUUAUCGAC